RNAcentral lists this ribosomal RNA (441 nucleotides) under uncultured bacterium. Its description in RNAcentral is "partial 16S ribosomal RNA". It matches the Rfam family "Bacterial small subunit ribosomal RNA", at positions 338 to 795 of the family's 1533-position model. The record is from RNAcentral.
CCUACGGGAGGCAGCAGUGGGGAAUAUUGCACAAUGGGGGGAACCCUGAUGCAGCGACGCCGCGUGGGUGAAGGAGUAUUUCGGUAUGUAAAGCCCUAUCAGCAGGGAAGAACAAUGACGGUACCUGACUAAGAAGCACCGGCUAAAUACGUGCCAGCAGCCGCGGUAAUACGUAUGGUGUAAGCGUUAUUCGGAUUUACUGGGUGUAAAGGGAGCGCAGGCGGCGCGUUAAGCCUGGUGUGAAAGUCCGCGGCCCAACCGCGGGACUGCAUUGGGAACUGGCGCGCUGGAGUGCCGGAGGGGUAGGCAGAAUUCCUGGUGUAGCGGUGAAAUGCGUAGAUAUUAGGAGGAACACCAGUGGCGAAGGCGGCCUACUGGACGGUGACUGACGCUGAGGCUCGAAAGCGUGGGGAGCAAACAGGAUUAGAUACCCGAGUAGUC